UGAGGAAUAUUGGUCAAUGGGGCGAGAGCCUGAACCAGCCAAGUAGCGUGAAGGAUGACUGCCCUAUGGGUUGUAAACUUCUUUUAUAAAGGAAUAAAGUCGGGUAUGGAUACCCGUUUGCAUGUACUUUAUGAAUAAGGAUCGGCUAACUCCGUGCC
Molecule: ribosomal RNA, 158 nt
Filed under: uncultured bacterium
Lineage: Bacteria
Description: partial 16S ribosomal RNA
Rfam family: Bacterial small subunit ribosomal RNA
Source: RNAcentral